Molecule: ribosomal RNA, 484 nt
Filed under: uncultured bacterium
Lineage: Bacteria
Description: partial 16S ribosomal RNA
Rfam family: Bacterial small subunit ribosomal RNA
Source: RNAcentral
AUUGAACGCUGGCGGCAUGCUUUACACAUGCAAGUCGAACGGCAGCGCGGGCUUCGGCCUGGCGGCGAGUGGCGAACGGGUGAGUAAUGCAUCGGAACGUGCCCAGUAGUGGGGGAUAGCCCGGCGAAAGCCGGAUUAAUACCGCAUACGACCUGAGGGUGAAAGCGGGGGACCGAAAGGCCUCGCGCGAUUGGAGCGGCCGAUGUCGGAUUAGCUAGUUGGUGGGGUAAAGGCUUACCAAGGCGACGAUCCGUAGCUGGUCUGAGAGGACGACCAGCCACACUGGGACUGAGACACGGCCCAGACUCCUACGGGAGGCAGCAGUGGGGAAUUUUGGACAAUGGGGGCAACCCUGACCCAGCCAUGCCGCGUGAGGGAAGAAGGCCUUCGGGUUGUAAACCGCUUUUGUUCGGGAAGAAAUACUCUGGGCUAAUACCCCGGGGGGAUGACGGUACCGGAAGAAUAAGCACCGGCUAACUACGUG